RNAcentral lists this ribosomal RNA (434 nucleotides) under uncultured bacterium. RNAcentral's name for it is "partial 16S ribosomal RNA". It matches the Rfam family "Bacterial small subunit ribosomal RNA", at positions 29 to 507 of the family's 1533-position model. The record is from RNAcentral.
AGCGAACGCUGGCGGCAGGCCUAACACAUGCAAGUCGAACGAACCUUUCGGGGUUAGUGGCGGACGGGUGAGUAACACGUGGGAACGGGCCUUUAGGUUCGGAAUAACUCAGGGAAACUUGUGCUAAUACCGAAUGUGCCCUUCGGGGGAAAGAUUAAUCGCCUUUAGAGCGGCCCUCGUCUGAUUAGCUAGUUGGUUGAGGUAAUGGCUCAUCAAGGCGACGAUCAGUAGCUGGUCUGAGAGGAUGAUCAGCCACAUUGGGACUGAGACACGGCCCAAACUCCUACGGGAGGCAGCAGUGGGGAAUCUUGCGCAAUGGGCGAAAGGCUGACGCAGCCAUGCCGCGUGAAUGAUGAAGGUCUUAGGAUUGUAAAAUUCUUUCACCGGGGACGAUAAUGACGGUACCCGGAGAAGAAGCCCCGGCUAACUUCGUG